AAGGGUUUAGCUCAGUGGUAGAGCGCAUGCUUAGCAUGCACGAGACCUGGGUUCAAUCCUCAGUACCUCCA
RNAcentral lists this transfer RNA (71 nucleotides) under Camelus bactrianus (Bactrian camel). It matches the Rfam family "tRNA". Rfam says of the family: Transfer RNA (tRNA) molecules are approximately 80 nucleotides in length. Their secondary structure includes four short double-helical elements and three loops (D, anti-codon, and T loops). The record is from Rfam by way of RNAcentral. Lineage: Eukaryota; Metazoa; Chordata; Mammalia; Artiodactyla; Camelidae. RNAcentral also lists the same sequence under 2 other names.